RNAcentral lists this long non-coding RNA (1010 nucleotides) under Homo sapiens (human). Its description in RNAcentral is "HSALNT0284292". The record is from RNAcentral. Lineage: Eukaryota; Metazoa; Chordata; Mammalia; Primates; Hominidae.
GUGCCAAUCACUGAGUUUUGGCCAAUCAUAAGUAGCCAGCUGUUUGAACCAUGUUCAAAUAAGGCAAACACCAAGCUAUAACCAAUCCAGUUGUUUCUGUACCUCACUUCCAUUUUCUGUUUGCACCUCACUAUUUUUUUUCUGUUUGUAAAUCUUCUUCCACCGCAUGGCUGCACUGGAGUCUCUGAGCCUCCGCUGGCUCAUAAGGCUGCUGGACUCAUGAACUGUUCAUUACAAAAUUAAUGUUUUAAAAAUUUAAUUCAGGUGAAGUUUUUCUUUUAUCAGAUGGUGUCAGAAGCAGGGUCCCAAGUAGAGCUUCUAACAAACCCUAGGAGUCCUGGGCGACCAAAGCGAGGUAGCUGCAGAACCCAUUUGUGUCCAUUGAUCUCUUGGAGCAGCUGGGGAUCAUGCUAUGAGCGACAGGAUUAGGCAUGAAUAGGACCAUGGAACAUGGAGAACUUUUUCUCUUAAAAAAAGAAAACUUGAGAGCAGAUGUGACUGCUGGAAAAGAUCCCUUCAUGACCGACAAGCAGCUGCCUGAAUUUUUAAUUCAGUAUUGCAUUGGCAUUUCCUUCUUUUUGAGAAUCCAGGAUGUGAUAUAAAAAUGGGGCCAUUAAUUUUGGAAAACUUUGUCUUCCAAAGAAGCCUGCUUAUUAGGCCCUAAGAACUGCAUGACUUUCCUGGCCCUGUUCCCUGAAGAACUCCACCGUGACACCAGUAAUCCAAUUAAGAAACUUAAAAACUGGCAAAUAAAAAAAUCUUACAACUUCUGGAUCUUCAUCUGUCUGUCUGUGUAGUUAUAUAUGUGUUGUAUAUGUGACGUUCAUAUAAAAAAGCUCUAAUUAAUUGGCUUGAAGAAAAAUAAGCACUUAAAUCAAAUAUUUUGAAAGAAAAAUGAAAACUGUAAAGCCUUUUAGUUCAUGUGACUUUAGUAGCCUUUGGAAAAUAAAAGCAGUUUUAAAAAGAUUAUCGGUAAAAUAAAAACACUUGGUCUAAGUUAGGCAAGUCAG